Molecule: ribosomal RNA, 497 nt
Filed under: uncultured bacterium
Lineage: Bacteria
Description: partial 16S ribosomal RNA
Rfam family: Bacterial small subunit ribosomal RNA
Source: RNAcentral
GACGAACGCUGGCGGCGUGCCUAAUACAUGCAAGUUGAGCGCUGAAGGUUGGUACUUGUACCAACUGGAUGAGCAGCGAACGGGUGAGUAACGCGUGGGGAAUCUGCCUUUGAGCGGGGGACAACAUUUGGAAACGAAUGCUAAUACCGCAUAAAAACUUUAAACACAAGUUUUAAGUUUGAAAGAUGCAAUUGCAUCACUCAAAGAUGAUCCCGCGUUGUAUUAGCUAGUUGGUGAGGUAAAGGCUCACCAAGGCGAUGAUACAUAGCCGACCUGAGAGGGGGGUCGGCCAAGAUGGGAAUGGGACACGGCCCAAACUCCUACGGGAGGCAGCAGUAGGGAAUCUUCGGCAAUGGACGGAAGUCUGACCGAGCAACGCCGCGUGAGUGAAGAAGGUUUUCGGAUCGUAAAACUCUGUUGGUAGAGAAGAACGUUGGUGAGAGUGGAAAGCUCAUCAAGUGACGGUAACUACCCAGAAAGGGACGGCUAACUACGUG